GAUGAACGCUGGCGGCGUGCCUAAUACAUGCAAGUCGAGCGAACGGACGAGAAGCUUGCUUCUCUGAUGUUAGCGGCGGACGGGUGAGUAACACGUGGAUAACCUACCUAUAAGACUGGGAUAACUUCGGGAAACCGGAGCUAAUACCGGAUAAUAUUUUGAACCGCAUGGUUCAAAAGUGAAAGACGGUCUUGCUGUCACUUAUAGAUGGAUCCGCGCUGCAUUAGCUGGUUGGUAAGGUAACGGCUUACCAAGGCAACGAUGCAUAGCCGACCUGAGAGGGUGAUCGGCCACACUGGAACUGAGACACGGUCCAGACUCCUACGGGAGGCAGCAGUAGGGAAUCUUCCGCAAUGGGCGAAAGCCUGACGGAGCAACGCCGCGUGAGUGAUGAAGGUCUUCGGAUCGUAAAACUCUGUUAUUAGGGAAGAACAUAUGUGUAAGUAACUGUGCACAUCUUGACGGUACCUAAUCAGAAAGCCACGGCUAACUACGUGCCAGCAGCCGCGGUAAUACGUAGGUGGCAAGCGUUAUCCGGAAUUAUUGGGCGUAAAGCGCGCGUAGGCGGUUUUUUAAGUCUGAUGUGAAAGCCCACGGCUCAACCGUGGAGGGUCAUUGGAAACUGGAAAACUUGAGUGCAGAAGAGGAAAGUGGAAUUCCAUGUGUAGCGGUGAAAUGCGCAGAGAUAUGGAGGAACACCAGUGGCGAAGGCGACUUUCUGGUCUGUAACUGACGCUGAUGUGCGAAAGCGUGGGGAUCAAACAGGAUUAGAUACCCUGGUAGUCCACGCCGUAAACGAUGAGUGCUAAGUGUUAGGGGGUUUCCGCCCCUUAGUGCUGCAGCUAACGCAUUAAGCACUCCGCCUGGGGAGUACGACCGCAAGGUUGAAACUCAAAGGAAUUGACGGGGACCCGCACAAGCGGUGGAGCAUGUGGUUUAAUUCGAAGCAACGCGAAGAACCUUACCAAAUCUUGACAUCCUUUGACAACUCUAGAGAUAGAGCCUUCCCCUUCGGGGGACAAAGUGACAGGUGGUGCAUGGUUGUCGUCAGCUCGUGUCGUGAGAUGUUGGGUUAAGUCCCGCAACGAGCGCAACCCUUAAGCUUAGUUGCCAUCAUUAAGUUGGGCACUCUAAGUUGACUGCCGGUGACAAACCGGAGGAAGGUGGGGAUGACGUCAAAUCAUCAUGCCCCUUAUGAUUUGGGCUACACACGUGCUACAAUGGACAAUACAAAGGGCAGCGAAACCGCGAGGUCAAGCAAAUCCCAUAAAGUUGUUCUCAGUUCGGAUUGUAGUCUGCAACUCGACUAUAUGAAGCUGGAAUCGCUAGUAAUCGUAGAUCAGCAUGCUACGGUGAAUACGUUCCCGGGUCU
This 1372-nucleotide ribosomal RNA is filed under the name uncultured bacterium. RNAcentral describes it as "bacterial SSU rRNA". It matches the Rfam family "Bacterial small subunit ribosomal RNA", at positions 28 to 1381 of the family's 1533-position model. The record is from RNAcentral.